AGUGUGCUGCAACACCACCACCUUGUGGGAGAAAUUUCGAUUGCAUCAACACAGUGGGAUCCUACAAGUGUGAAUGUAAGCCUGGAUACACACUGAACGCCCAAGGGAUUUGUCAAGACGUUGAUGAGUGCACUGAGCAAAGGCCUUGCAAUGAUGACCAGGUUUGCCAGAACAAUGAAGGAAGUUACAGUUGUGAAAACGUAACUACGGCAAAGCCAGAUGAGCCUCAAACCAAGGCAGAUACAGUGACACAUGGGGAUCCACAAACAGAACCAACACGAGUCUUUCUUACCGAUCAAAGUUCAAGUUCUUCCUUGCUGGAUGUGGGAGUUACCACAGUUUGUUUUUUCCUGGCGACUUAUUAUGUGGCCAUGUGAUAGGAAGAGUCACCACGUCCAGAAUUGUGCCUGAUACCAUGCACCUUUUCUGUUGUGAUCGUUAGCCAUAAAUUAUAAAUGGCUGAUGAUAUCGCCAACAUUUAAUGGUGAUCCCAUUAUAACGUCAUGAAGAUUUUUUUCGCUGUACCGGCACGUGUGUAUAAAUAUGAGCCUGCAUGAGCUUCGUUUCACUAUAUGUAAUGACUUUGAUCUUUUUGUCCAUACUCUAUUUUGUACAUAUACUCAGUAUUUUGUUGUACUAAAAUUUUACCACAGAGAAACAUGUAGUAAGUAUUGACUUUACAAAGACACGUGAAUGGUGUAGAUAAAAAAAAAUACAUGUAGGAGCAUACUGUACAAAGAUAAAUGUAGAUCUACACGGAGAACAAUAGCGGUACGUACAAGCCUGCAAGCAUGCGAACACCUUGUCUGUGUUUGAAGUAUUGAAUUACCUUCGAAUUAUGUACACCCCUUUUAGCUGUAACCGUGAUUCAAUACAGUGUAUAUGUAUCCUUAAGACCAAUGGUUAGAGCACCCCCAC
Molecule: long non-coding RNA, 918 nt
Organism: Liolophura sinensis
Lineage: Eukaryota; Metazoa; Mollusca; Polyplacophora; Chitonida; Chitonidae
Exons: 4
Source: RefSeq, a predicted model, not a curated record